RNAcentral lists this long non-coding RNA (251 nucleotides) under Physcomitrium patens. RNAcentral describes it as "long non-coding RNA (PPAT_LNC011773)". Lineage: Eukaryota; Viridiplantae; Streptophyta; Bryopsida; Funariales; Funariaceae. The record is from RNAcentral.
AGAUAUAGCUCAAGAUAUAACCACUAGUAAAUCGGAUCACUUAUUACCCUUAGAUUGCAAGUGCUGACUUCAAAAUCCAAUAACUCCUUUAUUUUAACUUAGAAUCCAGCAAACAAUAUGCAAAAAGUGUAGCCGCAAAAGUGCUCUCUUCAAUCGCAGUCACCCAUCCUCAAUUGCUAUCCGUACCCGUGUGUUAUGACAAAAAGAGUGACAGUAUCUUCCAAAUCAAUACCUUAACUUUGAGCGCCUAU